UGAAAGCGCCCUCUAAGGUUACCCUUAGAGGGCGCUUUUGAAAAAGCGCUCUCUAAGUCCAUGUACAUUUCCAGUUUAGAAGGCGCUUUUGGAAAGCCUUAGAGAGCGCUUUCAGAAGCGCCCUCUUAGGCCCCCUUUAGAGGGCGCUUUUUUUAAAAAAGCGCCCUCUAAGGUCCCCUUUAGUAAACAUUAAAAUUAUAACAUAUACUGCAUGUCUCUUUAUUUUCCCUCUCUAUAAGCUAUUUCGUUUACGUAACUGGGUUUUCUCUCAACUGCGAUUACUCUCUACUGCGAUUACUCUCGUCCUCCGUUCGUUCUCCCUCCCUCACCGUCAUCGUCGCCGUUCGUUCUCCCUCCCUCACCGUUCACGUUCACUGCGUUAACCUCUUCCACCGUCACUGUUCAC
Molecule: long non-coding RNA, 406 nt
Filed under: Lathyrus oleraceus (garden pea)
Lineage: Eukaryota; Viridiplantae; Streptophyta; Magnoliopsida; Fabales; Fabaceae
Description: Pisum sativum (pea) long non-coding RNA (PSAT_LNC026718)
Source: RNAcentral